UUUUAAUUGGGGGAUUGUUUGAAUGGUUUGACGAGGGGGUGGAUUGAGAUGUGUAGCGUGGGUUGAAAUUGGAUUGCUUGUGCGGAUCCAGGUUGUUGUUAGUAAGACGGGAAGACCCCGGGAGCUUUAUAUUAAUUAUUUGCUUGGGGCGAGAGUAUGUUUUUCACGUGCUUGCGGAUCCUGUCGAUUUUGUAGGGGUAGAGGAUAGAGUUACCCCGGGGAUAACUAAGCAAUGAUAAUGCGAGCUCUUAUCAAAUUAUUAAGUUGCUAUCUCGAUGUUGGCUUAGAGUAAGGACGGUGGUGUAGCAGUCACUGUUUGUGGUCUGUUC
RNAcentral lists this ribosomal RNA (329 nucleotides) under Eurytrema sp. Es2. Its description in RNAcentral is "partial large subunit ribosomal RNA". Lineage: Eukaryota; Metazoa; Platyhelminthes; Trematoda; Plagiorchiida; Dicrocoeliidae. The record is from RNAcentral.